RNAcentral lists this ribosomal RNA (781 nucleotides) under uncultured bacterium. RNAcentral describes it as "bacterial SSU rRNA". It matches the Rfam family "Bacterial small subunit ribosomal RNA", at positions 8 to 794 of the family's 1533-position model. The record is from RNAcentral.
AGAGUUUGAUCAUGGCUCAGAUUGAACGCUGGCGGCAUGCCUAACACAUGCAAGUCGAACGGAGGGCUUCNGCCCUCAGUGGCGGACGGGUGAGGAACACGUAGGAAUCGGCCCACGAGUGGGGGACAACCUGGGGAAACUCAGGCUAAUACCGCAUACGCUCGCGAGAGGAAAGCGGGGGACCUUCGGGCCUCGCGCUGGUGGACGAGCCUACGUCCGAUUAGCUAGUUGGUGGGGUAACGGCCUACCAAGGCGACGAUCGGUAGCGGGUCUGAGAAGACGACCCGCCACACUGGGACUGAGACACGGCCCAGACUCCUACGGGAGGCAGCAGUGGGGAAUAUUGGACAAUGGGCGCAAGCCUGAUCCAGCAAUGCCGCGUGGGUGAAGACGGCCUGCGGGUUGUAAAGCCCUUUAGGCGGGGAGGAACGGUCGGGUGCCAAUACCACCCGGCGCUGACGUUACCCGCAGAAUAAGCACCGGCUAACUCCGUGCCAGCAGCCGCGGUAAUACGGAGGGUGCGAGCGUUAAUCGGAAUUACUGGGCGUAAAGCGUGCGUAGGCGGUAGCGUCAGUCAGCCGUGAAAGCCCCGGGCUUAGCCUGGGAACGGCGGUUGAGACGGCGCAACUAGAGUGGGCUAGAGGAUCGUGGAAUUCCGGGUGUAGCGGUGAAAUGCGUAGAGAUCCGGAGGAACACCGAUGGCGAAGGCAGCGGUCUGGGGCCACACUGACGCUGAGGCACGACAGCGUGGGGAGCAAACAGGAUUAGAUACCCCGGUAGU